Molecule: ribosomal RNA, 163 nt
Filed under: uncultured bacterium
Lineage: Bacteria
Description: partial 16S rRNA
Rfam family: Bacterial small subunit ribosomal RNA
Source: RNAcentral
UAGGGAAUCUUCCACAAUGGGCGAAAGCCUGAUGGAGCAACGCCGCGUGUGUGAUGAAGGGUUCCGGCUCGUAAAACACUGUUGUAAGAGAAGAAUGACAUUGAGAGUAACUGUUCAAUGUGUGACGGUAUCUUACCAGAAAGGAACGGCUAAAUACGUGCCA